This 330-nucleotide unclassified non-coding RNA is filed under the name soil metagenome. Its description in RNAcentral is "partial contains 5.8S ribosomal RNA, internal transcribed spacer 2, and large subunit ribosomal RNA". The stretch from base 1 to 120 matches the Rfam family "5.8S ribosomal RNA", at positions 35 to 154 of the family's 154-position model. The record is from RNAcentral.
GAUGAAGAACGUAGCGAAAUGCGAUAAGUAAUGUGAAUUGCAGAAUUCAGUGAAUCAUCGAAUCUUUGAACGCACAUUGCGCCCCCUGGUAUUCCGGGGGGCAUGCCUGUUCGAGCGUCAUUUCACCACUCAAGCCUCGCUUGGUAUUGGGCAACGCGGUCCGCCGCGUGCCUCAAAUCGACCGGCUGGGUCUUCUGUCCCUUAAGCGUUGUGGAAACUAUUCGCUAAAGGGUGUUCGGGAGGCUACGCCGUAAAACAACCCCAUUUCUAAGGUUGACCUCGGAUCAGGUAGGGAUACCCGCUGAACUUAAGCAUAUCAAAAGCGGAGGA